AUUGAACGCUGGCGGCAGGCCUAACACAUGCAAGUCGAACGGUAACAGGAAGAAGCUUGCUUCUUUGCUGACGAGUGGCGGACGGGUGAGUAAUGUCUGGGAAACUGCCUGAUGGAGGGGGAUAACUACUGGAAACGGUAGCUAAUACCGCAUAACGUCGCAAGACCAAAGAGGGGGACCUUCGGGCCUCUUGCCAUCGGAUGUGCCCAGAUGGGAUUAGCUAGUAGGGGGGGUAACGGCUCACCUAGGCGACGAUCCCUAGCUGGUCUGAGAGGAUGACCAGCCACACUGGAACUGAGACACGGUCCAGACUCCUACGGGAGGCAGCAGUGGGGAAUAUUGCACAAUGGGCGCAAGCCUGAUGCAGCCAUGCCGCGUGUAUGAAGAAGGCCUUCGGGUUGUAAAGUACUUUCAGCGGGGAGGAAGGGCGUAAAGUUAAUACCUUUGCUCAUUGACGUUACCCGCAGAAGAAGCACCGGCUAACUCCGUG
Molecule: ribosomal RNA, 490 nt
Filed under: uncultured bacterium
Lineage: Bacteria
Description: partial 16S ribosomal RNA
Rfam family: Bacterial small subunit ribosomal RNA
Source: RNAcentral